Molecule: ribosomal RNA, 254 nt
Filed under: uncultured bacterium
Lineage: Bacteria
Description: partial 16S ribosomal RNA
Rfam family: Bacterial small subunit ribosomal RNA
Source: RNAcentral
UACGUAGGGUGCGAGCGUUGUCCGGAAUUAUUGGGCGUAAAGGGCUCGUAGGCGGUCUGUCACGUCGGGAGUGAAAAACACGGGGCUUAACCCCGUGCCUGCUUCCGAUACGGGCAGACUAGAGGUAUGCAGGGGAGAACGGAAUUCCUGGUGUAGCGGUGAAAUGCGCAGAUAUCGGGAAGAACACCCGUGGCGAAGGCGGCUCUCUGGGACGGUACUGACGCUGAGACGCGAAAGCGUGGGGAGCGAACAGG